Non-coding RNA from Paramisgurnus dabryanus, 818 nucleotides. The record is from RefSeq and is a predicted model, not a curated record. NCBI's taxonomy places the organism in Eukaryota, Metazoa, Chordata, Actinopteri, Cypriniformes, Cobitidae.
AUCUGUUUACCUAAAAACAGCCCACCACAAUCCAUGUUUACCAGCUGUGAAAGUGCAGGCCAAAAAUCUUCCUUCACCUGUGGGCCUCUACCCACAUGUAGAUAAGCACUUCAGGAGAAACCUGCCUGUGAUCUGCUAAGAUGCACAGAUUCAACUCUGGCCCAUUGUCAUCCCAACACCUCAUCUGCCAUCAGUUUCGUUUAGUGUCGGUCUAUUGCAAAAGUUCUUAUAAACUUUAAAUGAGACUUUGUGUUAAGCAGGGGUUUCCAAACUUUUCAUUCCACAACAUAUUAAGCCCAGGAUACACAGCAGGAUUUUUGCAAUCCAAUAAGACCUUAUCACACUGUGUGACAAGGAUUGUUUAAACUUCAGCAGUAGACUGUCGAUGAAGACACCUAUUGCAUCUGAAGCUGCGACAUCUGUCAUCAACAUGCGCUAGUGGUAAACAAAUACAGGUAUGCAUCUAUAUAAACAUUCUCAAUAUCACCUUUGGUUUGCUCAGAGUUUGUUCAGAUGAUUUUUAAAACUAAAUGUUGUGAAAAUGCAAGGUGUGUUACACAAUUUCAAUGGAUGGCGUGGGGUCAAAAACUAUCAAAAGUUUCAAGCUUAGAUAUAUAACUGUUGACAAACACACUUAAUGUGAGUCACACCCAGUAAUUAUAAUAAGCAGGAAUUGCAGUAAGCAGGGUCACCUUAAGAUAAUCAGCUUGUUGGCAAUUGUUUUAUUUAAUUAAAUGUAUAACUUUUUUCAUUUCAGACUGAUAAAACAGUCAGAGGGGCAGUGGCUGUUGGCAAUGAUGUUCUUGUGUGUUUUGUAU